Molecule: long non-coding RNA, 753 nt
Organism: Daphnia pulicaria
Lineage: Eukaryota; Metazoa; Arthropoda; Branchiopoda; Diplostraca; Daphniidae
Exons: 4
Source: RefSeq, a predicted model, not a curated record
UUCUUAAAACACUGAUUGGAAGCCACAUGUUGAAAACGUAUCGUUGGAUUGGAUACUUAAUACGGCGUAAUUUUCUUUCUUGACAUUUUUAUUCGUAAUAAUGGUAUUUAUCUGGUAUCAGCCUAUAAUUUCUACAUGGCAAUUUCAUCUGAUCAUGUGGCCUGAGCAGCUGAACAUUUUGUCAAAAUGUCUCUUUUUCCUGUACCAGCUUCAUGUUUGUCAGAAACACUUCAGAACAAUUCAGGAUUAACACCCUGGUGGAGUUUGAGCUUCUUUGUUGCUGCCCAACUUACACAUGGAUUUGACGCAGCCAGCUGAGGGCUCUAAUUCUUGUUGAACAUAUAUGUUCGUGUAGUUGCUGUCCGAUGUGGCACGUUGUUGCAGCCUAUGCUGGUGAAAGAUCUUUCUACAUAAAGUUCAAUUGGCCGUUCCUUGGUGCUGGUGUCGUGUUACCGAAGUUGCAUCAUAUUUUGUUAAAUUGUCAUCGUGACUAUUGCAGUUUACCGUUUAUAAGUUCAGAAGCAACAAAAACAAAUAUGGGAUGUUUAUGUCAACAAAUAAUAAACAUGUUUCCGGGGUUGGGAAAGGAAAGUGGAGGAUGUUGGAGGGGGAGGGAGGAUAUUUAAAGUUUGGAUAAAAAUUCAGUUAAUCUAUUACCAUACAAAUGUUGCCCUACCAAUUAAUCUCCAAACCCCACAAACAUAUACCUUCCAAUCCUUCAAACCCCGAAAACAUACACCUACUAACCCCUAA